This 408-nucleotide ribosomal RNA is filed under the name Candidatus Accumulibacter phosphatis. RNAcentral describes it as "bacterial SSU rRNA". It matches the Rfam family "Bacterial small subunit ribosomal RNA", at positions 447 to 857 of the family's 1533-position model. The record is from RNAcentral. Lineage: Bacteria; Pseudomonadati; Pseudomonadota; Betaproteobacteria.
GGUUAAUACCCUGAGUAGAUGACGGUACCCGAAUAAGAAGCACCGGCUAACUACGUGCCAGCAGCCGCGGUAAUACGUAGGGUGCGAGCGUUAAUCGGAAUUACUGGGCGUAAAGCGUGCGCAGGCGGUUUUGUAAGUCAGAUGUGAAAGCCCCGGGCUCAACCUGGGAACUGCAUUUGAGACUGCAAGACUGGAGUUUGGCAGAGGGGGGUGGAAUUCCACGUGUAGCAGUGAAAUGCGUAGAGAUGUGGAGGAACACCGAUGGCGAAGGCAGCCCCCUGGGCCAAUACUGACGCUCAUGCACGAAAGCGUGGGGAGCAAACAGGAUUAGAUACCCUGGUAGUCCACGCCCUAAACGAUGUCAACUAGGUGUUGGGAGGGUUAAACCUUUUAGUGCCGUAGCUAACA